CUUAAAAGAGUGCGUCAGGUAAAAUAUUCUCUUUUUGAAGUUCCUUUUUCCUUGCAUGCCUGAGUUGAAAAACCGUACGAACCGAGAUUAUUCAAACACUUUGGGCACUGCACAGAAUGUCAAGGGAAAAUUUGUCAGCGAGAACAAGCGACGAGUUUGUUCCACUUUAACUACUGAGGGAUGUUUUACCCAGCAGAGACAGUGCAUCAACGAAUUUGCCAUGCUGGUCUACAAAUUGUUCGAAGCAUUUCCAUUACUGAAUGGCUUCAGAUCGGCAGAAGAAAUGUGAGAAAAUCUCCUGUUUAAAAUUACAUGGACAGACGAACUCCGCCGGCGACUUCCAUGACAUGAAUUUACCGCUGGAUUGUAUGAAGGUUUCUGCAUCUGUUGCAUUUUUAAUUGCCUUGCCGUUCAAGUGGAAUACCCCCACUGCUGGGCUUCACCCCACAGCCUCAGCACCUCCCUUCUGUGGGAACAAGGGGCACAGCACCGGGCCUACGGGAGCAGUAUGGAAAAUGCAAAGCUUUGCAGGGACUUCACUGAGCAAUACGGCACGCACAGUGCUGAGCACGCUCGCAAUUUACUGCCUGAGGAGGAGAAUCUACGCAGAGAAUCCACACAGAGAAAAGGGGAAGGUCACGAAAAUCGCGUUUUUAUGUAGUUUGGAAGUCCCACGCACCUUUCGUUGCUUGAACUUGUCAAUGUUCACCAUAUGGAAAUUAUUAACUUAAUGCCGGUGUUCUAAAUACUGCCCAGGAAUGCUUUUUAGAAUGGGAUUUUUAUUCUUUGCGUCAAGAAAUACCAAACUACCACACAAAUACCGUGACUGGGGAACCUGUGGAACCGGCCCACGUCCCACCAGAGCGAGGAGCUCCUCAUUGGCACAGCCGUGUGUGUCCGGAGUAACCCGGCGCAGAGCGCGGUGGCACCGACAAGGCGCAUAGGGGAGAUAGAAUCGUAGCAUCAUACAAUUGCUCCAGUUGAAAAUGACCUUAAAGAUCAUCGAGUCCAACCGCAACCUGACCAUCCUACUCUAACAACCCUCCGCUAAAUCACGGCCCUGAGCAAACUGAGCAUUGAGAUGCUGCUGUGUGGAGAUCAGAAGGCAGACGUUCUGGACACCAUCGGGGCGUUAAGGCACUGUGCAUUUUUCCAAGCGUGCCCUCCCUGCCCGCACGUCCCGGCAUUUUUUUCUCUGACUUAGAACGAAAUUUGCCCGUCCCGAAUCCAUCCCACUCGGGCAUUCAUGCUGAAAGCAGCAACAAUUGUCACUGACCUUUAACACGCCUGCUAUUCAAAUUAGUGCAGAUCAUUAAUCACACAUAGCUUACAUUUUAUGAUUCGUGUAUCCUUCAUUACCAACUUUCCCCCUCUCUCGCUCCCGCCCCUUUCCUUUAUCCCAAGGCUGCUGGCAGCCGGCCCGACCCCCCCGCGCCCCUCCGCC
RNAcentral lists this long non-coding RNA (1444 nucleotides) under Gallus gallus (chicken). Its description in RNAcentral is "lncRNA (ENSGALG00010008881.1)". Lineage: Eukaryota; Metazoa; Chordata; Aves; Galliformes; Phasianidae. The record is from RNAcentral.